GUUUCUUUUAUCGAAGACUAUAUACUAUAAUACUUGUUAUUGUACGACCAACCAAUUCCUUAAAAUGAAAGGAUUCAAACAAAAAAACCUUUUCUACAACCACGAAAAGGGGCUUUAUAGAUUUCGCAUCUAAUUCAAUUUUGGGAAUAUGAAAAUAUCUUUCAUGAAUUAUUAGAACCCAACUCGUCGGACUCACACUUUACCAAAUCUUCAGUUUCUAGUCUAAAGCCAGUAAUGGAAAGAAACCCUAUACUACAGGAGAGGCAUUUUCCUAUUGAAUGGCACAUGGUUCUGCAUUAACAUAACAAGCAAAAAAGAAAAAGAAAGAAAUAUUGUAUCACUUCUUUUCUAUACUGAUUGAAAUUGCGUUACUGGGUCAAAAGAAGGAUAGCUAUACUAAUUCGGUACACUUUAAAGACACCCUCGGUACCACUAUUGAAGAUCUCACAAAGAUUAAAUCUCAGUGAAUUUCCAUUUAC
RNAcentral lists this long non-coding RNA (479 nucleotides) under Gossypium barbadense (sea-island cotton). RNAcentral's name for it is "long non-coding RNA (GBAR_LNC000927)". Lineage: Eukaryota; Viridiplantae; Streptophyta; Magnoliopsida; Malvales; Malvaceae. The record is from RNAcentral.